UGCUUUGCUGUAAAAAAAGACGUUUGCCGUCAGUGUAACCAAGAUAAGAAUUACAAUUUUAAAACUGAAAAUGUAGAGCAUGUAAUUACAUUGUUUUCAAACCAUGAUGUUAACCGAAACAUAGCUUGGUUUUUGUCACGUUACAAUUUAGACUUCAUACUCAGAUCGCGCCAUAUUUUUCCUCUUAUUUCUGGCGCCAAUGUCUAACGUUAAACGAUAAUGCUGUAUUGAUGUUCCCUACGCCCUCUAAAACAAACAAACAAACAAAAAAAACACUAAAAAAGCUCAAACUGCAGAGUUUGGCAAUGGGCUGUGUGCUCACAAUACAGGAAGAUUACGACGACGAUGUGAAAUGGCUUAUAGCAGAGAAGCUAAGAAAGUAAUCGGACGGUCUUGGAUGUUGAUGCAGUGGAACAGAAAUUGGCAGACCCCACCUUCCAGAAACAAGUGGUUGCUGUGGUGGCAGUACUGUGGAUGAAGCCAGGAGAAGAAUGAGGGCCUUCCUUUUGGACCACCCCGCAUCAAGAGAGUUCAAUUUUGUUGGCCGGCAUGGAAAGUGAGAGUUUCAGGGGCUCAGACCGCUUGAGGUUGUAUAAGGAAGCUUGAAAAAAAUUCUCUUAACCAAAUUACCAGAAAAGAGGCAGAAAAGUCAGCAUCAAAGUGGCUAAUCGGUGACGGGAGGAAACCGUUCUGCGAAGUCACGUAGUAGAGAGUAAGAUAGGGCCGUUGGGAGAGCGAGGACAGAGGUGUGAGGGGCUGCACGGUUGGUUGGUUUGUUUGUUUGUGAAAUAAUGUAUUUUAGAGUUUUCAGAUGUGUAUACAAACGAUACAAGUUAUUCCAAAUAAUGUUUGGCAGGAGCUUCACUUUAAUUUUUUUUAAGAUGCUUAUGUUUUAUAAAGUUGUAAAUACACAAUACAUAAUGGUCAUGUUCAAAUUAUUCCAACGAAACCUUGUAUGCAGAAUACAAGUUAUGAAGAUUUUUAUUUUUACAAGAAAUAAAGUUUUUCAGGAGCUUAAAAUUAACUUUUUUUUUUUUUUUUUAUACUUGUUUUAUAAAGUUGUGAAUGUACAAGUUAUAAUAGUAAUGUUUAAAUUAUUCCAAAUAAACUUUGCUUAAAAGCACUGGUUUCUGUUUAUUGAAUACCUUUAGCAUUUUAGUGGAUUUAAUGUAAUGUUUGUAUUUAGGGGUGUACUGUAAAAUAAGGUAACCCAAACAGACAAAUGUUAGCCCAUGUGUAUACUUGUUGUGGCCCAUAAGAGACCUACAUAAGACCUAGCUGGGUCCCAUCACUAACCCAUGUAGGCAGACUCGUAUAGGCACCAAAUGGGAGCUACCUGGUUAACCCGUAUGGGCCCCAUGUGGAGCCCAUCAAGGGCCCAUCAUCAGCCCAUCUGGGCUAACCCCUGUUGGACCACCAUGGAAACUGAGGACAAAAUUAGCUGGGUCCCAGAUGGGCCCAGUUGCAACCCCUAUGGGCCCCACAUGGAUGUGUUGGCUGGGGAGUUUCACUCGUUUCUUGCUUCGAUAUCCCAUGCCGAACUGCAUCAUAUCGCCGGGAUGAUAAUCUUCCGGUAUAUAGUGAUCGCUAAAUUACACACCACCGCGUUGUUUGAAGCAGAUGCAUUAAGUCUCUUCAGCUGCACAAACGCACCGAGGCUCGGAAGAUACCGUCCUAUUUCUCGUCAGGAAACCUGUGGACUCGAUGUGCUGAUAGCGAAAGCGUGCGCACGGAUUAUGAAUUUGUGGGUACGGAUUCAAAAACCGAGGGUACGGUUUACAAAAUCUGAGCGCACGGAUUGUAAAUCCGUGGGCAUGAUUUGUUAAACCGAGGGAACAGUUUAAGAAUUCGUGAGUACGGUUUAUAUACUGUGGGAACGGAUUGUUUUUUUUCCCCCUCCUGCAGGUGACUUCCCGGGCUCCGUAGUCUCGCGUGGCACACGACUCGUGACGUAAUAUGACACGAUGUUGAAAAAAAAAGUGCUUUUUCAGAACUGUCAAGGAAUGCGUCCCUUUUUCUUCUAAAUUUGUGCCCUCACGCCUUGUAAAACAUUUUCAAACCCUGCAAUAACGG
Molecule: long non-coding RNA, 2073 nt
Organism: Onychostoma macrolepis
Lineage: Eukaryota; Metazoa; Chordata; Actinopteri; Cypriniformes; Cyprinidae
Exons: 5
Source: RefSeq, a predicted model, not a curated record